This 270-nucleotide unclassified non-coding RNA is filed under the name Ceratobasidium sp. RNAcentral describes it as "partial internal transcribed spacer region". The stretch from base 1 to 46 matches the Rfam family "Eukaryotic small subunit ribosomal RNA", at positions 1786 to 1831 of the family's 1831-position model. The record is from RNAcentral. Lineage: Eukaryota; Fungi; Basidiomycota; Agaricomycetes; Cantharellales; Ceratobasidiaceae.
AAGUCGUAACAAGGUUUCCGUAGGUGAACCUGCGGAAGGAUCAUUAUUGAAUGAAUGUAGAGUUGUGCUGUCGCUGGCUGGAUGGAUUAAUUUCUGUUCAGCAUGUGCACGCCUGCUCUUUCAUCCACACACACCUGUGCACUUGUGAGACUGAGGACUUGUAAAAAAGGUCUUCAGUCUACUUAAUACAAACUCCAUUUAAUUAAACUGAAUGUAAUUGAUGUAACGCAUCAUUAGAACUAAGUUUCAACAACGGAUCUCUUGGCUCUC